CAUUCUUUGAACUCAACCGUCGGGAAAUAGCAGGUUUUGUAUCAUAGUAGGUUUUGCUCUCUCUCUCUCAAAUCCCUAAUCUGAAAUAGCCUUUCUUUCUCUCUCGCAAUGCACUGGAUUUCUUUCUAUCUCACUAAUCGAUUUGUUGAUUGCUUAGGAGAUUCAAUCCUUUGUUGAUUGUUAUCUUUCUAUCUCGCGAAUGCACUGGAUUUGUUGAUUUCUUUCUAUCUCGGAAUGAACUCUUCAGUGGCACUGGAUUUCUUUAUUGAUUGCUUCUAAGAUUCAAUCCUUAAUCUGAUCUCAACGACAAUUUCAUCUCUCGACAGCGAUUUCAAUCUCAUAAAUUUGGUUUUUGAUCUGUUGUUUGCAUUUGUUCUUCGAAAAUGCUUAUAUAUCAUCAUAAUAUGAUUCGUUUUUAAUGCGUAUUUGUGAGUGUUGGAUUCGGUAAUUGUGGAUAUGAUAGUCGAUUACUCAUUUGAGUUAAAAUGUGAACGAAAUCAAUGAUGUUGUGGUUUUGUAUUUUAGUAUUUGCUCUGUAAUUUUGGAAAUAUGGAUUUGGUAGUUGUGCAUACUUAUAACAAAUUGAAUAUCUAAUCAAGAGUGGUAAAUUGUAGAUAAUAUUAAGGAAAUCACAGUAACAAGAAGAGAAUCCAGCCUAAAUGUAAUCUGUAAUGCACUGUCAUUCAGAUACUUCAUAUAAUUACUGAAUACCAUAUUAUCUACUACCAAGCUUUUAUUGCAUAUUUUCAAAAUUGAUUCACAAGGCAUAUUCAAUCCUUUGAUUGCAGUCAAGCUUCCUAAAUCCAGAGUAUUGGGUGCUAAAGGUUAGAUAAUUAUAUCACUUGCCAAGGAAAUUUUUUUCUUCCUCACUUUUAUGUAAUUUUAACCCAAGUUCACAGCAGUUUAUUUACAGAUUAUGUAAUUUGUAUUUAUAACCAAGCAUCUAUGGAAAAAACAGGUUGCAAUGGAUGUCUCAGAAGUAAAUCUAUGGAAAAAACAGAGAUGCUUUGGUGGUAGAUUUGUAUUUUUGCUAUUGCUUGAAGAAUUGGAUUCCUUAGGUUUGAAUUAUUGGAAAAUUAUACAAUUUCGAACAUUUGAUUUUGUUGCUCUUAUAAAUUUUGUUGUUUUGUGCUUUUUUUUAUUUUAUUUUAUUCUAAAUUUGAUUAGAAUUUUGUAGAAUAUGUAUGAAUUGAUGAUUAUGUGAGUACAUUUUUAAUCUUUGUUAAAUAGUUUAAUGCUCUGUUUUUUAACUUAAGGAUUUCAAAUGAAGUAGAUUUGAAAUCUGAUAUUUCAAUCCUUGCGCCCCACUCGAUUGAUCACAUGACAUAUGGAUUUCAAAUCCGGCCAAAUCGGUCCAUGGAUUUCAUUCUUUCAUCACUUUCUUAGAAAUUUGAUUUUUUGUUUGGUCUUUAUCUGCUUGAUUUUUUGUUUGGAAAUGUAGAUGCCAAUUCGAUUGAUUGCAUUGUUAAAUUUACUAGCAAUGGCAGGUAGCUAUUAGUUUUAUUCUAGCAAAUGUUUUAGGUAUUUUCAAUUGGAGAACAUUAAAUCCGCACUUCAUUUUCGUUGCAUUCAGAGUGAGAAAAAUGGGUGCAUAUGGAUCCAUUCAACAACAUGAGUGUUAAGAAUUUUCUUAAUGUUGUGUUUGAAUUUGUUAAAAGAAAAGAACAAGCUGCUUUUUUUUUUGGUCUGUGUGUGUUUGUGUAUGAAAUCAGCAACAUUACAGAGUGAAGAGAGGAAGAAGAAUAAAACUCCAUGAGUUUGAUAAUUUUUUUGCACCAUCCAUUUCUGUAUUUUGAAAAGUUGCUCACUGGCUCUUUUUUUUUUUGUGUGUAAAGUCCAUUUAUAUGAAAAUUUUCCUUCAAAGUCAGACAUUUUUUUGGAUAUGGUGUUUUAGAUUGAUUAUGAUGACAACUAACGCAAUCAUGGUUAUAGUUGUCAGUUUAGCUGAUAAGUGAUAUAGAUGCUGGAGAAUCAUGGACUCCCUUCUGAUUUUCUUGUUUUCCUCAUGUCUUGUUGAAAUUUAACCGAUGGUGCUCAUUGGAUACUCUAGUUGUUUAGAUCAUGCCGUUCUGAUCUGAUAGGGCUGCAUCCUUGCAAACAAAGCCACUUGAAUUAUGAAAAGCAGGAUAAUUUUCCAGGUUUGUUUCUACAAAUCUAUUUAUGUUCUGUUUGAUUGUUGUGAAAACAGAAGACAUGAUGAACCACAACAUCUGUUCCUUUACACUUUAAUCUGAUAGGGGACAUAAACUUGUUUUCCUCGUUUGUUUUGCCUUGAAUUCCAUGUGGCACCUUUGUAGUCUUGAAUUUUCGGCAUUGCUUGUAUGUUAUGAAUAAUUUGAGAAACUUAUUAGACUCGGCUCAAUAAAAUCUUUCCAUGAAUCAUGUUUUGCGAUUCUGCACUGCCAAUUAUCCUAUUUUUCCAUGCUACUGUGUCUUUUAUCACUAUCUUAACGUGCAUUUAUUUUGAUCUUCCUCCUUCCAUGGCAUUACCCUCAUUGGUAAUGAUUUUUUUUUUUUUGGUAGCGUUUCUCAUUGUUGCAAUGCCCAAGUUUUGGUGAUUGGCUGUUGUUGAUUGCUCUGGGCCUCCAUGAAACAUAUUUAAGAAUGUUUGUGUUUUGCAUUUGUUGAAUUUUUGGUAUGAUCUCUGAGAUAUGGUUCCUGAUUUUGUGGAGCUCAUUCAGGGAGGCACUCUCUCUGUCUGGUGGAUCUGAGGGCCAGCAACCAGGUAUGAAGUUGAUAUCAUCAUCUCUGCACGACAUAAGAACAGUUGAUAAGUGUGUAAGCACUGCUGCACAAGAUCAUUCUUUACCCUAGCUCAGUUUUGCAUAGCUGCUUUAUUAUAUGUUAUUGAAUUAUAUGCAAGAAAUUUGAUUAUGCUUCCUUGUAGCAUCUGAGUUUGACUACUUUAUUUUCAUGGGUCCAACUAUAGUUCAAAACUAGUGGUUUUAGAUACGAUACCCGAAAAAAUUGGUAAGAACCACCAUACCCAAUAAGGUUUGUAGCUAUGGCACAUACAAUAGUUUCCUUUUUUGGGUACGAGCAAAUUUUUCUCUCCACUACUAAAACCUACCCACAGCAUUGAUCUUGAAUUGCUGCGUCCCUAAGCUUCUGAAUCACGAUAUUCUUGUCGUGGUUUAAAUUGUCCAACGGUGCUUGCAAAGCAUAAACAAGGCAACUGGUGAAUUAUAAUCCGUUUCUUUCUUCCUAGAUUUUCUUUUCUUCUGGCCCUUCAAGAAAUAGUUAUUGAAAAUCGAUGCCAGACAUGAAAAGGCUAGAAAAUGAUUUAUUUUGCAAGAAUGAAAUGAUAACUGGAGCAAUGUAAAUCCUAAUGAGUUAAGCCGUGAUUCCCAUGUUGUUGGCGUCACUUGAGAUAUUUAUUAAUUCAAAAGAUCAUAUGUAUUCAUGAUGACACAGGAAAUUUAAAUGUUGAAAUCAUUUGAGAAAAUUCAAGAUUAUUGUUGUUAAUCCGAUUGGUUUAUCAUAUGUAAAGUAAAGCAGGAUAAAACAGAGCAUUUAGAAGUUAAUCUUUGCACUCUUGUCAAAAUUGUUAAAUCAUUUAGUGUUAACUUGCAGUUAAGACGGAAAGAACGAAAACAUUGAGAAAUACAGAAGGCUUCAGGCUCUUACUUGAAAAUUAACUGGGAACGCAAUACUGAUACACUGACAGCCACAACUAUCACUGAAAUUAAGCUUCAAGACAAAUUUCAAUGGCCUUGUUUUAAGCUUUUCCCUGGUGUAUCAAUAGACAUGAUAGAAACAAAAAUCAGAGAAGCAUGGUAAAUUAUACAUACAGGUAUGUCUACAAAAGGUAGAGGACGAGCAGGGUAUGAAGUUUCAAUUUUAGCGAAGAGGAUGAAGCAACAUUGAUUGCAUUCCUUCAAGGAUGGGAACACAAGUGCACUGGGAACGCAAGUGCAUUGUGAGAUGAUUUGUAGAGAUUCUGUUUCUUGGAAUUCUCUCAUAGCUGGUUAUUUUGAGAUUGGGAUUCUAAGAAUCGGAUUUUUUGUGAGGCCAUUGUAAUGUUUUUACAGAUGCGUGAUUUCUUGAUACAGCCUAAUAAAUAUACUCUUGCUAACAUUCUUUGUUGAAUUUUUGACGUUGUUGAAUUUUAAUUUGGAGAUGAACAGAUGCUUUGAAGAUAUGUUUGAUA
This is a non-coding RNA of Camellia sinensis, 4150 nucleotides long. Lineage: Eukaryota; Viridiplantae; Streptophyta; Magnoliopsida; Ericales; Theaceae. The record is from RefSeq and is a predicted model, not a curated record.